GUCGAACGGUAGAGGGGGCAACCCCUCGAGAGUGGCGAACGGGUGAGUAAUAUAUCGGAACGUGCCCAGUCGUGGGGGAUAACGUAGCGAAAGUUACGCUAAUACCGCAUACGAUCUACGGAUGAAAGCGGGGGAUCGCAAGACCUCGCGCGAUUGGAGCGGCCGAUAUCAGAUUAGGUAGUUGGUGGGGUAAAGGCUCACCAAGCCAACGAUCUGUAGCUGGUCUGAGAGGACGACCAGCCACACUGGAACUGAGACACGGUCCAGACUCCUACGGGAGGCAGCAGUGGGGAAUUUUGGACAAUGGACGCAAGUCUGAUCCUGCCAUUCCGCGUGCAGGAUGAAGGCCCUCGGGUUGUAAACUGCUUUUGUACGGAACGAAAAGGUUUCUAUUAAUACUAGGAGCUCAUGACGGUACCGUAAGAAUAAGCACCGGCUAACUACGUGCCAGCAGCCGCGGUAAUACGUAGGGUGCAAGCGUUAAUCGGAAUUACUGGGCGUAAAGCGUGCGCAGGCGGUUAUGUAAGACAGAGGUGAAAUCCCCGGGCUCAACCUGGGAACUGCCUUUGUGACUGCAUAGCUAGAGUACGGUAGAGGGGGAUGGAAUUCCGCGUGUAGCAGUGAAAUGCGUAGAUAUGCGGAGGAACACCGAUGGCGAAGGCAAUCCCCUGGACCUGUACUGACGCUCAUGCACGAAAGCGUGGGGAGCAAACAGGAUUAGAUACCCUGGUAGUCCACGCCCUAAACGAU
RNAcentral lists this ribosomal RNA (750 nucleotides) under uncultured bacterium. RNAcentral describes it as "bacterial SSU rRNA". It matches the Rfam family "Bacterial small subunit ribosomal RNA", at positions 61 to 810 of the family's 1533-position model. The record is from RNAcentral.